Long non-coding RNA from Mastomys coucha (southern multimammate mouse), 1693 nucleotides. RefSeq lists it as uncharacterized. Lineage: Eukaryota; Metazoa; Chordata; Mammalia; Rodentia; Muridae. The transcript has 5 exons. The record is from RefSeq and is a predicted model, not a curated record.
UGACUCCUAACAGCGGGAAUGGAGGCAUCUCUGACUCUUUAGCCUGCUCUUUUGACCCUUUCCUCCCUACUGGAUUGCCUCGUCCAGGCUUGAGAAAGAGAAUGUAUAAUCUAUACUUGGUGUCAAGUGAGGAAUUGAAAAGGAACUCAUGUGACCGGAGAGGAAGCAGAGGGACCAGUGGCCCAGUUCCAGCCAAUGAGAGAAUGUGAGCCAAGCUAGCCGACCCUUAGGAUGUGGAGUGCUGGCAACUUACCUGUGAGGGACAUUUGCCUGUGACGGGUGCAGAAGAGUUCCUGAAGCCGUCUGUGGCCACGCCCAUGCUCCCCUCCUCAGGGAGACGUUGUCAACAUGCUACUACUGAGAUUAUAGACGACAAGACAAAGGGAACUUGUUGACGACAUUAGAACUGUACUCACAUGAGGACUAUACUUAGAACCUCAAGGCCGUCCUUGACCUGACACUAUGAAGCAGAAAAUGUGCUGAUUAUUAGACAUAAAUAAUCUGUACUCUUGUUUCCUAGUGAUAUUUUCUAUAGGAACAAACAAGAGAUAAGGGUUACUUUUACAAUAUAAUUUCUAUUCUUAUUGAUAGAAAACUGUUGGCAUUUGGAAAAUGUUCUUGAUGUUUGGAAAAUUUGUCUUGAGUUGAAGCCAAAUGUCCAUAAAAUUUGACCACAGAGGUUCAUGCUAAAAUCAUUAUUGCAUAGCAUGCAAGCAUGGGAAUGAUCUCAUACAUGACAUGAGUGACUGGCUCUCACAGAGAUUGGUGGAUGGAAUUUGACUGGGAAAGGAUGAUGUUAGAGCAUCCAAGGAAGUACUAGAUAUCAAUGGGAGCAGGAUCACCUAGUGGAUACCUUGGCUCAAACUGAGAGAUGAGAGGAACUCAGCAGAGAGAUCCUAGCCUCUGUGAAUUUUGCAUUAACAUUUGUAGACUUGAGCCUGUAAUAGGUGACCUCCAUGCUCUAGCAUUUAGAUGGAGGUAUUUUGGCUUUGAAAUGCUUAAGACCAUAGUUGGACCAUAGCUAGAAGAAUGUGCAAAUGUGUAGACUGAGAAAGCAGCACAGUGGAAGAUUAAUGACAUAAAUCACACAGUGGAUUUAUGAUAAACCAGCCUGCCUCCACCUUAAGCUUCAAAGCCAUCUUAUAGUAAAGACAGACUAGGCUCAUUCCUGUUUUGAUUAAAUCUCCAUUUCUCAAGAAUUGGGCUAUGCCCAACCUGUAACCUUAAUUACAAAUGGUUCUGUGAUGCCUGUUCCAAGAAAUAGUAACCAUGCCUUCAUUUCAAAACGUUAUCAUGACCACCCUGUUAUGACUAACUUGUUGUGAUCACCUUGUUAUGACUACCUUCCAACUGUGUCUUUGUCUCAAGAGCUUGUUACGACCAACUUGUUAUGCUUAUGUUCUGCUUCUGUAACCUUGUCUACCUGUGUGUCAAAUCCUCCAUCUGGAAACUCCUACUCCUGGACGCUAAAAGCCCUUAUCGCAUCCAUGUCCAGGGCUGAUCUCUUGAAUCCUGCCUUUAGGGAUGUAUAGCUUGUGUACAUGAAUUUUUUUAAUUAAUUAAUUUUUUUACACUCUGUAUUUUAUCCCCCCAUCCAUGCUCUACCUGUUCCACAUCCCAUACCUCCUACCUACACCCCUGUCUCCAUGUGGAUAUCCUCACCCCCCCCCCCAUCUCACAUGACCUCUAAACU